UCUCCAUGUAAUAUGUCGCCCCUUCGAAUUCUUCUUCAUCCUCUAUAUUAAAUCAUCUCUUCCUAAACCCUUGCAUCUUUCAUCUACCUCACAUAAGAAGCAAAAAAAAAUUCCAGCAACAAUAUCUCGCAAAAUCGAUUUUGUUGGUGAUAUUGAUGAUUCCCAACAACAAUGUCCCCAAACUAUUAUCUUCCUUUCUAAAAUUUGACACCAAGGGUGUGAUUCAAUUUCAUCUUGAAGGUUCUUUGAAGAAAAUAAUUGAGACCCAUAGAUCUGUUUCGUGAAGCAGAAAACAUUUAGCAUUCUCACUUUAAAAGUGUUGGUUGAAUUUCAACCGUUGUUGCAAGAUAAAAGGUUUAUGUGUGAACAAGCUGAGACUGGCAGGUGGAAUUGGUAUCUUUUUCAAGUUGCAAUGGCUUUGAUAUCAUUGUAUUUAAAACAUGGGAUUACACUUUCAAAGAUUUUGAUCUUGAGGUAGUUAUUGUA
This is a long non-coding RNA of Vicia villosa (hairy vetch), 486 nucleotides long. RefSeq lists it as uncharacterized. The record is from RefSeq and is a predicted model, not a curated record. Lineage: Eukaryota; Viridiplantae; Streptophyta; Magnoliopsida; Fabales; Fabaceae. The transcript is spliced from 3 exons.